Triticum aestivum (bread wheat) is the source of this 1007-nucleotide long non-coding RNA. RefSeq lists it as uncharacterized. The transcript has 2 exons. The record is from RefSeq and is a predicted model, not a curated record. Lineage: Eukaryota; Viridiplantae; Streptophyta; Magnoliopsida; Poales; Poaceae.
CAGCGGCGGCGAAGGGCAUGCCGGAGAUGUGGAAGAGGAUGUUGGCUUAUUCUGCAACGGCGGAAGUGAGGUCGUUCGUGACUCAAACGACAUGCCCACUGAUUGCGAGAAAGUUGCAUCUGUGGGAGAAGAUGGAGAUGCAGAUGGUGUCAUCGUCAACAAUUCAAAGGGCUCCUGCUGGAGUCGACGGUAACAGACACAUGUGAUGAUCCAGAUUGGUCUGCAAGAGGUUCCGGCAAAACAUGUGCUAAAGCAUUGGAAAAGGGAUGCAAGGGAUAUACUGCCUUCAGAAUUUAUCCGUUACCAGAAAGACAAAGGUCCUCUCAAGUACUCCUAGCGGCGACAUAACAAUCUGCAUCUACUUUGCUUUGAAAUUGUUAGACUUGGUGACAUCAAUGUCGAUGCAUAUACUCUUGUCAUGGAGCAGCUAAGAAAUGCAAAGGCAUUGCUUGAACCGGUAGCCGUUGUACGUGAUGGCAUGGGAUUAUCCGACAGAGAAAUGGCAGGUGAUUCUACAGUCUCGUCUAUAGCGCACAAACAACAUUUUGGUCCAGUGAAUCAGGUGCAGAGUGACUCGCAAUGUUUAGACAGCUUUGGGGCACCAUCCAAGAAGAGACCAGCGGGGCGGCCUACAACAAGCCGCGACAAAGCGCUAUAUGAACAACCGGCUAAAAGGAGCCGUUUUUGUUCAAUCUGCCAUGGUCAAGGGCACAAGAGCACAACAUGUCCGCAGCGCGGUGAUCUUCCGAAGGCGCCAAGGAAGUCGCCUCGCUGCUUCAGGUGGAGUCUGACAGGACACAGGAGGAACACUUGCACCAACACGCCUAGGGCGGAUUUCUACUAGUGAUGUUGUUAUGUUUUUAUGGUUGAAGUGUAGCAGUUCAUUGAACUGUGCUUAUGUCGGAUGUUAGGCUGCUAGCAACUCUGCACUAUGAUAGUGAGAAUCUGUAUCUGUACUUUGCUGUUGUGUUCGAUAAUUACUCAGAGACUCCGUGAUUUCAGUUUCA